This 433-nucleotide ribosomal RNA is filed under the name uncultured bacterium. RNAcentral's name for it is "partial 16S ribosomal RNA". It matches the Rfam family "Bacterial small subunit ribosomal RNA", at positions 29 to 507 of the family's 1533-position model. The record is from RNAcentral.
AACGAACGCUGGCGGCAUGCCUAACACAUGCAAGUCGAACGAGACCGUCGGGUCUAGUGGCGCACGGGUGCGUAACGCGUGGGAAUCUGCCCUUGGGUUCGGAAUAACUCGCCGAAAGGCGUGCUAAUACCGGAUGAUGACGUAAGUCCAAAGAUUUAUCGCCCAAGGAUGAGCCCGCGUUGGAUUAGCUAGUUGGUGAGGUAAAGGCUCACCAAGGCGACGAUCCAUAGCUGGUCUGAGAGGAUGAUCAGCCACACUGGGACUGAGACACGGCCCAGACUCCUACGGGAGGCAGCAGUGGGGAAUAUUGGACAAUGGGCGAAAGCCUGAUCCAGCCAUGCCGCGUGAGUGAUGAAGGCCUUAGGGUUGUAAAGCUCUUUUACCCGGGAUGAUAAUGACCGUACCGGGAGAAUAAGCUCCGGCUAACUCCGUG